AUUGAACGCUGGCGGCAUGCCUAACACAUGCAAGUCGAACGGUAACGCGGGGCAACCCUGGCGACGAGUGGCGGACGGGUGAGUAAUACUUAGGAAUCUGCCUAAUAGUGGGGGACAACCCGAGGAAACUCGGGCUAAUACCGCAUACGACCUACGGGAGAAAGCGGGGACCGUAAGGCCUCGCGCUAUUAGAUGAGCCUAAGUCCGAUUAGCUAGUUGGCGGGGGUAAUAGCCCACCAAGGCGACGACGGUAGCUGGUCUGAGAGGAUGAUCAGCCACACUGGGACUGAGACACGGCCCAGACUCCUACGGGAGGCAGCAGUGGGGAAUAUUGGACAAU
RNAcentral lists this ribosomal RNA (340 nucleotides) under uncultured bacterium. Its description in RNAcentral is "bacterial SSU rRNA". It matches the Rfam family "Bacterial small subunit ribosomal RNA", at positions 30 to 372 of the family's 1533-position model. The record is from RNAcentral.